RNAcentral lists this ribosomal RNA (434 nucleotides) under uncultured Flavobacterium sp. RNAcentral describes it as "bacterial SSU rRNA". It matches the Rfam family "Bacterial small subunit ribosomal RNA", at positions 1 to 438 of the family's 1533-position model. The record is from RNAcentral. Lineage: Bacteria; Pseudomonadati; Bacteroidota; Flavobacteriia; Flavobacteriales; Flavobacteriaceae.
UCGAGAGUUUGAUCCUGGCUCAGGAUGAACGCUAGCGGCAGGCCUAACACAUGCAAGUCGAGGGGUAGAGGAAGCUUGCUUCCUUGAGACCGGCGCACGGGUGCGUAACGCGUAUGCAAUCUACCUUAUACAGGGGAAUAGCCCAGAGAAAUUUGGAUUAAUACCUCAUAGUAUGUGAGAAUCGCAUGGUUUUUCACAUUAAAGUUCCAACGGUAAAAGAUGAGCAUGCGUCCCAUUAGCUAGAUGGUAAGGUAACGGCUUACCAUGGCGACGAUGGGUAGGGGUCCUGAGAGGGAGAUCCCCCACACUGGUACUGAGACACGGACCAGACUCGUACGGGAGCAGCAGUGAGGAAUAUUGGACAAUGGGCGCAAGCCCUGAUCCCAGCCAUGCCGCGUGCAGGAUGAUGGUCCUAUGGAUUGUAACUGCUUUUG